CUCUGGUAUUGAUUGGUGCUUGCAUCAUGAUUUACAUUUGAGUGAGUGGCGAACUGGUGAGUAACACGUGGGAAACCUGCCCAGAAGCGGGGGAUAACACCUGGAAACAGAUGCUAAUACCGCAUAACAACUUGGACCGCAUGGUCCGAGUUUGAAAGAUGGCUUCGGCUAUCACUUUUGGAUGGUCCCGCGGCGUAUUAGCUAGAUGGUGGGGUAACGGCUCACCAUGGCAAUGAUACGUAGCCGACCUGAGAGGGUAAUCGGCCACAUUGGGACUGAGACACGGCCCAAACUCCUACGGGAGGCAGCAGUAGGGAAUCUUCCACAAUGGACGAAAGUCUGAUGGAGCAACGCCGCGUGAGUGAAGAAGGGUUUCGGCUCGUAAAACUCUGUUGUUAAAGAAGAACAUAUCUGAGAGUAACUGUUCAGGUAUUGACGGUAUUUAACCAGAAAGCCACGGCUAACUACGUGCCAGCAGCCGCGGUAAUACGUAGGUGGCAAGCGUUGUCCGGAUUUAUUGGGCGUAAA
Molecule: ribosomal RNA, 528 nt
Filed under: Lactiplantibacillus plantarum
Lineage: Bacteria; Bacillati; Bacillota; Bacilli; Lactobacillales; Lactobacillaceae
Description: bacterial SSU rRNA
Rfam family: Bacterial small subunit ribosomal RNA
Source: RNAcentral